UAAUUACUUCUUUAAAAACUUUAACUUCCCAGAUAUAAAAUGGAGGACAAGUGCUAGUAAUAAAGAUAGGGUUCAGAUUUUUCUGGAUAUGAUAGCUGAUGGAUUCCUUCACCAAGUAGUUGCUGAACCGACAACAGGGGUAUGCCAUUUUAGAUUUGGUUUUGGUGAGUAGUGAGGACCUCAU
Dermochelys coriacea (leatherback sea turtle) is the source of this 184-nucleotide long non-coding RNA. RefSeq lists it as uncharacterized. The transcript has 3 exons. NCBI's taxonomy places the organism in Eukaryota, Metazoa, Chordata, Testudines, Dermochelyidae. The record is from RefSeq and is a predicted model, not a curated record.